UACGGAGGGUGCGAGCGUUAUCCGGAAUUAUUGGGUUUAAAGGGUGCGUAGGCGGCUAUGUAAGUCAGGAGUGAAAGUUUGCGGCUCAACCGUAAAAUUGCUUUUGAUACUGCAUGGCUGGAAUUAGGAUGAGGUCAGCGGAAUGUGGCAUGUAGCGGUGAAAUGCAUAGAUAUGCCAUAGAACACCAAUUGCGAAGGCAGCUGGCUAGACCUGGAUUGACGCUGAGGCACGAAAGCGUGGGGAGCGAACAGG
This 253-nucleotide ribosomal RNA is filed under the name uncultured bacterium. RNAcentral's name for it is "partial 16S ribosomal RNA". It matches the Rfam family "Bacterial small subunit ribosomal RNA", at positions 524 to 776 of the family's 1533-position model. The record is from RNAcentral.